CCACAAUUCACAGUUUAGUGAACAAACCUCUUUGCUCGCCAUUUCCACCUGAGCUAGUAAAUGUAUCACUGCCAUAUAGAGGGGAGUGGUACCAACCUACCUCUCGCUCGGUUCCGUGAGAAGCAGCCUCCCAUCUCGUGUCUUUCUUAUUCGGAGCAGACUUUACCCCUGAUGGCCUCCUCCACUCAUUCAGCAAGACAAGGGCUGAGUCACAUUACUUGGCUGCUGCAGGCUCCCAGCUUGUUUGGGG
This is a non-coding RNA of Pelobates cultripes (western spadefoot toad), 250 nucleotides long. NCBI's taxonomy places the organism in Eukaryota, Metazoa, Chordata, Amphibia, Anura, Pelobatidae. The record is from the annotation of a GenBank genome assembly.